GAUGAACGCUGGCGGCGUGCCUAAUACAUGCAAGUCGAGCGAACAGACGAGGAGCUUGCUCCUCUGACGUUAGCGGCGGACGGGUGAGUAACACGUGGAUAACCUACCUAUAAGACUGGGAUAACUUCGGGAAACCGGAGCUAAUACCGGAUAACAUGUUGAACCGCAUGGUUCAACAGUGAAAGACGGUCUUGCUGUCACUUAUAGAUGGAUCCGCGCCGCAUUAGCUAGUUGGUAAGGUAACGGCUUACCAAGGCAACGAUGCGUAGCCGACCUGAGAGGGUGAUCGGCCACACUGGAACUGAGACACGGUCCAGACUCCUACGGGAGGCAGCAGUAGGGAAUCUUCCGCAAUGGGCGAAAGCCUGACGGAGCAACGCCGCGUGAGUGAAGAAGGUCUUCGGAUCGUAAAACUCUGUUAUUAGGGAAGAACAAAUGUGUAAGUAACUAUGCACGUCUUGACGGUACCUAAUCAGAAAACCACGGCUAACUACGU
This 496-nucleotide ribosomal RNA is filed under the name uncultured bacterium. RNAcentral's name for it is "partial 16S ribosomal RNA". It matches the Rfam family "Bacterial small subunit ribosomal RNA", at positions 28 to 506 of the family's 1533-position model. The record is from RNAcentral.